GAGAGCAGAGCAGCAGAGACCACCUGAGAACACCAGAGAGCCCAGACAGAGUGAGAACUUGCUGCCAGCCUCCCGGCCCCCCAGCACCCCUGCCUGCUGUGUGCCUGAAUGCCUUGGUACAGUUGACCUUCAUGUCUCCUUGGGCUCCUCUUGGCUGUGACAGUUCCUCAGACUUUCCUUGUUUUCCAUGAUGACCUGGGCAGUUUUGGUAUGGACACUCAGGAAGUUCCUGCAGCCUGGGUCAUAUUACAAGAAACCACAAAAGAAGAAGCGACGUCCUGGAAAUGGGAGGCGCAGUGUAGGACA
Talpa occidentalis (Iberian mole) is the source of this 306-nucleotide long non-coding RNA. RefSeq lists it as uncharacterized. The record is from RefSeq and is a predicted model, not a curated record. The transcript has 3 exons. NCBI's taxonomy places the organism in Eukaryota, Metazoa, Chordata, Mammalia, Eulipotyphla, Talpidae.